ACUGAGUGGUCCACGCCUCUAAUUCCUUGCUACUAGGGAGUCACCCAGAGCUAGCAGACUGUUUGAACUUGGGAAUUCUGUGCUGAAGUUUAUCGGGAGUCCACACUAAGUCUGGCACCAGUAUGGUAAGCCCCUGAGAACAGAGCAGAUGAUUACCAGGCUGCCCAAGGAGGAAGGAACCAGCCCAGGUAAGAAACAGAGCAGGUCAAAAUUCCCAUGUCAAACAGCAGUGAGAUCAGCCCUGGAAUGAGUGCUGUACUUCCAGCCUGGACAAGACAGAGAGAUCCAGCCUCC
Molecule: signal recognition particle RNA, 294 nt
Filed under: Phascolarctos cinereus (koala)
Lineage: Eukaryota; Metazoa; Chordata; Mammalia; Diprotodontia; Phascolarctidae
Description: Metazoan signal recognition particle RNA (ENSPCIG00000006477.2)
Rfam family: Metazoan signal recognition particle RNA
About the family: The signal recognition particle (SRP) is a universally conserved ribonucleoprotein. It is involved in the co-translational targeting of proteins to membranes. The eukaryotic SRP consists of a 300-nucleotide 7S RNA and six proteins: SRPs 72, 68, 54, 19, 14, and 9.
Source: RNAcentral